RNAcentral lists this non-coding RNA (30 nucleotides) under Homo sapiens (human). Lineage: Eukaryota; Metazoa; Chordata; Mammalia; Primates; Hominidae. The record is from RNAcentral.
UGCCAUGAAGCAUGGCCUUCUUCCUUGAGU